This 389-nucleotide ribosomal RNA is filed under the name uncultured bacterium. RNAcentral's name for it is "bacterial SSU rRNA". It matches the Rfam family "Bacterial small subunit ribosomal RNA", at positions 796 to 1181 of the family's 1533-position model. The record is from RNAcentral.
CACGCCGUAAACGAUGUGUGCUAGCCGUUGGGGCACUUGGUGUCUCGGUGGCGCAGCUAACGCGAUAAGCACACCGCUUGGGGAGUACUGUCGCAAGAUUAAACCUCAAAGGAAUUGACGCAGGUCCGCACAAGCGGUGGAGCAUGUGGCUUAAUUCGAAGCUACGCGCAGAACCUUACCAGCCCUUCACAUGGUCGUAGCGGCCCGGAGAGAUCCGGUCUUUCAGUUCGGCUGGACGCCACACAGGUGGUGCAUGACUGUCGUCAGCUCGUCUCGUGAGAUGUUGGGUUGAGUCACGCAACGAGCGCAACCCUCGCCCUUAGUUGCCAUCGGUUCGGCCGGGCACUCUAGGGGAACUGCCGGUGACAAGCCGGAGGAAGGCGGGGAUG